GGGGUGGUAGCUCAGUGAUAGAGCGCCUACCUCGCAUGUGUGAGGCACUGGGUUUGAUCCUCAGCACCACA
This 71-nucleotide transfer RNA is filed under the name Marmota monax (woodchuck). RNAcentral describes it as "tRNA.Ala". The record is from RNAcentral. Lineage: Eukaryota; Metazoa; Chordata; Mammalia; Rodentia; Sciuridae.